RNAcentral lists this unclassified non-coding RNA (336 nucleotides) under soil metagenome. RNAcentral describes it as "partial contains 5.8S ribosomal RNA, internal transcribed spacer 2, and large subunit ribosomal RNA". The stretch from base 1 to 120 matches the Rfam family "5.8S ribosomal RNA", at positions 35 to 154 of the family's 154-position model. The record is from RNAcentral.
GAUGAAGAACGCAGCAAAAUGCGAUAAGUAAUGUGAAUUGCAGAAUUCAGUGAAUCAUCGAAUCUUUGAACGCACAUUGCGCCCGCCAGUAUUCUGGCGGGCAUGCCUGUUCGAGCGUCAUUUCAACCAUCAAGCCCCAGGCUUGUGUUGGGGACCUGCGGCUGCCGCAGGCCCUGAAAACCAGUGGCGGGCUCGCUAGUCACACCGAGCGUAGUAGCAUACACAUUGCUCAGGGCGUGCUGCGGGUUCCGGCCGUUAAACCCCUUUUUUACCCAAGGUUGACCUCGGAUCAGGUAGGAAUACCCGCUGAACUUAAGCAUAUCAAUAAGCGGAGGA